Molecule: ribosomal RNA, 420 nt
Filed under: uncultured bacterium
Lineage: Bacteria
Description: bacterial SSU rRNA
Rfam family: Bacterial small subunit ribosomal RNA
Source: RNAcentral
UAAGGAAUAUUGCUCAAUGGGAGAAAUCCUGAAGCAGCAACGCCGCGUGGAGGAUGAAGGGUCUAUGACUUGUAAACUCCUGUAAAGAAGGAAAAAAUUCCCAUUUGAUGGGAGAUGAUGGUACUUCUGGAGUAAGCCCCGGCUAACUACGUGCCAGCAGCCGCGGUAAUACGUAGGGGGCAAGCGUUGUCCGGAUUUACUGGGUGUAAAGGGUGCUCAGGCGGAUUUGUAAGUCAGAGGUGAAAUCUUACAGCUUAACUGUGAAACUGCCUUUGAUACUGCAAGCCUAGAGUAUGGAAGAGAGUGAUGGAAUAUCUGGUGUGGCAGUGAAAUGCGUAGAUAUCAGAUAGAACACCAAUGGCGAAGGCAGUCACUUGGUCCAUUACUGACGCUAAAGCACGAAAGCGUGGGUAGCAAACA